AGCCAGCUGCCGUCAGACAACACGGACGUUGAGAGCUCAUGAUCAUUAUGACAAAAUCUCUGGUCAAUGAUCGACUACUUUCCGAUCAAUCUUUCUUGUUGAGGUAACUGGGCAUAAGAGUAGUUCGGCCAGACAUUCAAGGAUGAAAACUUGUCUCAUCAACGGAUUUCCUGGCUUGAUGCGAAAGAAGGCUUUACUCUGACUUACGGAUAGAUAUGUGGUCAGCCUGAAAGUUAUUCUUCCUUUUGAGAACAGGUUUUUUUAUUUGUUCUAAUAUAAGUUCAUGUGAAGAAAGAAUUUUUUGUUAGAGUGUAUAAAGGGAAUAAAGGAUCUUGCAGAUCAAGUUCAAGUUUUCCAACUCUCAAGCAUCUAUUUCGUCUCAUGGUGCAAUUCUCUGGGCCGAAAUUUGAAUGGGAAAUUGUGAAAACUCUUGAUUGAUGAGGAAAAUACUGGAAUUGCCGGAGGAAUUGAACAGGAGACAACGAUUUCUCUUGGUUUGCAGACUAAGAAGCUUUUGAAGAUAUUCCACGUAACAAAUUGAACUUUGUCUGAUCAACGUGAGAUACGAGAAGGCUGUGGUGAGCACCUGCGAAGGAAUGAACCAAUCAGUUACGAAUAACAGUGCAACUGAUGAUUAUUACUUACCGAUUUCAACGUGUCCAGUGUGACGGGAAAAAAUCCAGCUGCCGUGAGAUGGCAAGGCCGUUGAGCUCUCAUGAUCAUAACGACAAAAUCUCUCGUCAAUGAACGUGAUCUCUCGGAAUGACUUCUCUCGUACCAUUUUGAAUUGUAAGGCCCUUGGCAGACGUCAACACUUGCCAAUGACAAGUUGUGACAGGUGUAUGAAAAGGAGAGUAAUUGAGUUAGACAUCCACCAAUGUAAACUGUAAACUUUACACGUCUUAUCAAAAUGUUUCCAGGCUUGAGGAAUAAAGGAAUAAUUAUUAAUGA
Long non-coding RNA from Diachasma alloeum, 951 nucleotides. RefSeq lists it as uncharacterized. NCBI's taxonomy places the organism in Eukaryota, Metazoa, Arthropoda, Insecta, Hymenoptera, Braconidae. The transcript has 2 exons. The record is from RefSeq and is a predicted model, not a curated record.